Molecule: ribosomal RNA, 440 nt
Filed under: uncultured bacterium
Lineage: Bacteria
Description: partial 16S ribosomal RNA
Rfam family: Bacterial small subunit ribosomal RNA
Source: RNAcentral
CCUACGGGGGGCAGCAGUGGGGAAUAUUGCACAAUGGGGGAAACCCUGAUGCAGCGACGCCGCGUGAGUGAAGAAGUAAUUCGUUAUGUAAAGCUCUAUCAGCAGGGACGAAAAUGACGGUACCUGAGUAAGAAGCCCCGGCUAACUACGUGCCAGCAGCCGCGGUAAUACGUAGGGGGCAAGCGUUAUCCGGCUUUACUGGGUGUAAAGGGGGCGUAGACGGCAGUGCAAGGCUGGAGUGAAAGGCGGGGGCUCAACCCCCGGACUGCUCUGGAAACUGUACGUCUGGAGUGCAGGUGAGGGAAGUGGAAAUCCUAGGGGAGCGGUGAAAUGCGGAGAUAUUAGGAGGAAAAACAGUGGCGAAGGCGGCUUACUGGACUGUAACUGACGUUGAGGCUCGAAAGCGUGGGGAGCAAACAGGAUUAGAUACCCCUGUAGUC